UAGCAUAGUGGUUAAGUGCUGUGGCUGCUAACCAAAAGGUUGGCAGUUCAAAUCUGCC
RNAcentral lists this transfer RNA (58 nucleotides) under Loxodonta africana (African savanna elephant). It matches the Rfam family "tRNA", at positions 8 to 63 of the family's 71-position model. From Rfam's summary of the family: Transfer RNA (tRNA) molecules are approximately 80 nucleotides in length. Their secondary structure includes four short double-helical elements and three loops (D, anti-codon, and T loops). The record is from Rfam by way of RNAcentral. Lineage: Eukaryota; Metazoa; Chordata; Mammalia; Proboscidea; Elephantidae.